RNAcentral lists this ribosomal RNA (974 nucleotides) under Escherichia coli. Its description in RNAcentral is "partial 23S ribosomal RNA". It matches the Rfam family "Bacterial large subunit ribosomal RNA", at positions 419 to 1393 of the family's 2925-position model. Lineage: Bacteria; Pseudomonadati; Pseudomonadota; Gammaproteobacteria; Enterobacterales; Enterobacteriaceae. The record is from RNAcentral.
GGGACACGUGGUAUCCUGUCUGAAUAUGGGGGGACCAUCCUCCAAGGCUAAAUACUCCUGACUGACCGAUAGUGAACCAGUACCGUGAGGGAAAGGCGAAAAGAACCCCGGCGAGGGGAGUGAAAAAGAACCUGAAACCGUGUACGUACAAGCAGUGGGAGCACGCUUAGGCGUGUGACUGCGUACCUUUUGUAUAAUGGGUCAGCGACUUAUAUUCUGUAGCAAGGUUAACCGAAUAGGGGAGCCGAAGGGAAACCGAGUCUUAACUGGGCGUUAAGUUGCAGGGUAUAGACCCGAAACCCGGUGAUCUAGCCAUGGGCAGGUUGAAGGUUGGGUAACACUAACUGGAGGACCGAACCGACUAAUGUUGAAAAAUUAGCGGAUGACUUGUGGCUGGGGGUGAAAGGCCAAUCAAACCGGGAGAUAGCUGGUUCUCCCCGAAAGCUAUUUAGGUAGCGCCUCGUGAAUUCAUCUCCGGGGGUAGAGCACUGUUUCGGCAAGGGGGUCAUCCCGACUUACCAACCCGAUGCAAACUGCGAAUACCGGAGAAUGUUAUCACGGGAGACACACGGCGGGUGCUAACGUCCGUCGUGAAGAGGGAAACAACCCAGACCGCCAGCUAAGGUCCCAAAGUCAUGGUUAAGUGGGAAACGAUGUGGGAAGGCCCAGACAGCCAGGAUGUUGGCUUAGAAGCAGCCAUCAUUUAAAGAAAGCGUAAUAGCUCACUGGUCGAGUCGGCCUGCGCGGAAGAUGUAACGGGGCUAAACCAUGCACCGAAGCUGCGGCAGCGACACUAUGUGUUGUUGGGUAGGGGAGCGUUCUGUAAGCCUGUGAAGGUGUGCUGUGAGGUAUGCUGGAGGUAUCAGAAGUGCGAAUGCUGACAUAAGUAACGAUAAAGCGGGUGAAAAGCCCGCUCGCCGGAAGACCAAGGGUUCCUGUCCAACGUUAAUCGGGGCAGGGUGAGUCGACCCCUA